This 170-nucleotide ribosomal RNA is filed under the name uncultured rumen bacterium. RNAcentral describes it as "partial 16S ribosomal RNA". It matches the Rfam family "Bacterial small subunit ribosomal RNA", at positions 340 to 524 of the family's 1533-position model. The record is from RNAcentral.
UACGGGAGGCAGCAGUGGGGGAUAUUGCACAAUGGGCGAAAGCCUGAUGCAGCAACGCCGCGUGAGGGAAGACGGUUUUCGGAUUGUAAACCUCUGUCUUUGGUGAAGAAGAAAGUGACGGUAGCCAAGGAGGAAGCCACGGCUAACUACGUGCCAGCAGCCGCGGUAAU